RNAcentral lists this ribosomal RNA (445 nucleotides) under Streptococcus gordonii. RNAcentral describes it as "bacterial SSU rRNA". It matches the Rfam family "Bacterial small subunit ribosomal RNA", at positions 28 to 455 of the family's 1533-position model. The record is from RNAcentral. Lineage: Bacteria; Bacillati; Bacillota; Bacilli; Lactobacillales; Streptococcaceae.
GACGAACGCUGGCGGCGUGCCUAAUACAUGCAAGUAGAACGCACAGUUUAUACCGUAGCUUGCUACACCAUAGACUGUGAGUUGCGAACGGGUGAGUAACGCGUAGGUAACCUGCCUGGUAGCGGGGGAUAACUAUUGGAAACGAUAGCUAAUACCGCAUAAUAUUGAUUAUUGCAUGAUAAUUGAUUGAAAGAUGCUAUUGCAUCACUACCAGAUGGACCUGCGUUGUAUUAGCUAGUAGGUGAGGUAACGGCUCACCUAGGCGACGAUACAUAGCCGACCUGAGAGGGUGAUCGGCCACACUGGGACUGAGACACGGCCCAGACUCCUACGGGAGGCAGCAGUAGGGAAUCUUCGGCAAUGGACGAAAGUCUGACCGAGCAACGCCGCGUGAGUGAAGAAGGUUUUCGGAUCGUAAAGCUCUGUUGUAAGAGAAGAACGGGUG